This 2079-nucleotide long non-coding RNA is filed under the name Priapulus caudatus. Its description in RNAcentral is "uncharacterized LOC106808344". Lineage: Eukaryota; Metazoa; Priapulida; Priapulimorpha; Priapulimorphida; Priapulidae. The record is from RNAcentral.
UCCGUGUUGUCGAAAGGCGACUGCGGCGCGCGCGUGCAGGCAACUUCAAUCGAGCAACAUUCAUCCGUCCUUAUUAUCGAGUAAUUAUGAGCACUGCGUCGCGGGGUUCCCGAUUUAGCAUGAAGAAGGUCGGAAACCAUAGAGUGUCGACGCAUGAAGCGGCCACGGGGGAUAUCUUAUUGCAAAGGGGCAGCGACAACGAGACGCUGCUGUUGACGCUGCGCAGUCAGUGGUGGUUGGGCGGCGCAUGCGUGGUACUGCAGCUCUGUCUAUCGUGGGACUGCCGUACAGCGGCCGCUGGCAUCUGGACAGGUGGCUGGUUCUUCUUGACAGGACUGACUGGCCUACACCUUGUUGGACGACAUCCGCUGGCGAACCGCGAGGUGGCGACAGUGUCGGUGAUGAGCAUUGUCGGAAUCGUACUCGCCGUGGUGCUGGUGGCGCUCUCUACAAUUAUAUCAGCAGAGCCGAGUUGGUGCUGCCAUCUAGCGCGUAUCUCCUCGACGCCCGACGCAGCAGAAGCAGCAGCAGCAGCAGCAGCAGCGCCGUACACGGAGAGAUGCGACGCGAUACGCAUAUUCAGUCUCGCGCUCGUUAUUUCUGGAAUCGCCGAAAUCUGCGUGGCCUUCUGCACCAUCGCGAUAUGCGUCAGCGUGCUCACAUCUCGGCUCCAUCGACUUGCGGACCACGAGCUCAGCCUGCCAGCGGUGAGGCUAACUACCGAUGACGUGACCAGCAGCACGCGUCCGGUCGCGGCUGCUGCUGCGCUAGCACCGACCGAUGCUCCGGCGAUGGAGAGUCUAUCGUUUCUGUCGACCUUGCAACCGUUCUCCCCCGCCGGAGAACGCGGUGCAUGUGCUCGUUGCAAGAACGCGUCCGAUAGACGCCAUGAUUUAAACGCGAAUGAGCUGUAAACUGGAAUGGGAGAUGCACGCGUGCGGCAGCCUUUGUCGGCGUGAGAUUUUUUGCUUGCUUUGUAGAUAUAGAAGUCGAGAUAGGGCGAAAUCAAACUGUUCUACUCACACUUAGCGAAACGGUACGCGUUAGGAAUGAUCUUUAGCGGUGUCGCAUUAUUUAAUGUUUGUCGUUGUUUAACACGUGUGUUAUCGUUAUGUUUAUUCGUAUUACUAACCUAAUUUCUCUGCAAGAUUUGCACGCAUUUUGUAACAGUGUUCGAUGCUGUGAUAGAUACGGGCAUCAAUAACAUUCGCACCGUACUUUGAAUCACAGUAAUCUGCUCCAGCUGAUUUUAGACUCGUGACAGAUAUUUUCAUGGAGAAUUAAAUAGGUAAUAACAGGGGUAGAUAAUGAUAAAUAAUGUCACAAAUUUGUCAUUAUCUUCCCCUCGUAAUAGUCAUCGCGUAUAAAUAAGUCUCGUAAGACAUUACAGAAUUCAUAAUUACAAGAAGCAAUAACGCUAAGCUUUAGUUAAAUAUGACUACAUCAAUAUAUCGUGCAUAAUCAACAAGAAAAGGUGAUACAAAACGGCAUUGAGAAAAAUCGAUACGAAAAAUAUACAUAAAAUUCAAAAUACGCACAACACCGAUUUAUUCGCGCUAGUAACUAUUGCAUUACCUAUUUACCAAGAGCGGUAAGCCAUUUCAAAAUCCCAAACCAUGCACAUGCGGUCCGACACACAUUGAAAUCACACCACAAAAUGCCGUAAACCUCAAAGAUAACUCCACGAUUAUAAGCAUUACUGCCACUGACUCACUUACAAACUCCACACGCCAAAUAAACGCCCGGAAUUUCUACCGGCCAGCACAUAUCAAACAACAGGAUGCUAUCCUGCUGAAAGCAAAAUACUUUUUGCCAUGCAGACGGUUUAUAUUCCUGCUCGUCAGUUCUACUGAAUAUGUGCCGCUAUUCCGGGAACUAUAUUGACCUGUCUGAUGUACAUAACGCACGCAGUUGAAGACGUCCAUUUUGCGGCUAGUUGUUUUGCUUAGUAUCUAUUAAUUUUCCCAAGUGAAACUAUUGUUAUAUAUGUUAUAUGUUAUAUGUAUUGAACCUCGCGCACGAUAAAAAAUACAGCAUUUGUUCUUACGAAACUGUCCGUGCGAACUCUACAACGGCAUU